GUCUCGGGUUGGUCCGCGAGCUCUAAGUCCUGGAGCCCUGCUCUCCCCUCCUGCGGGUCGGCCCUGGUAGCUCCUGGCAGGUGUCAGUAGGCCAGGCCCGGAUUCCCCCAAACUUAAACGCUGGGCGCCCGAGUUUCGAUUUCUUCUGCUGCGAAACAAUGGUCGUUGGGAUUCGAAGUGAGAGAAUGCAGGGCAAAUCGCCUAACAGUAUUUAGUGAGUUCUCCAGAGCAUAGCCAGUACUACAAGCAGCAACACGGACAGAACUGAGCAGCACUAUCGGGGGUGGGGGUGGGGGUGGCAAAAGACCACAGUCUGAUUUCACUUCUAUGAAAUUUUAGAGGUAAACUGUAGCGACAGCAUUUGCCUGGGGAGGAGAAACCAGGACCUAAUGCAGUGCAAAGGAGCGGGGGGAGGGGGGGACUUAGAAGAGGUGAAAGAAUGUACUCUGCAUCUUAAUGGGAACGGUGGUUACGCGACUUACACGGCGGCCAAAAUUCAUAGAAUUGUAGUCUCUAGAUGGGCGAAGCUUAUCUUCAAGUUAUAUACAAAAUUUCCUCAGAGUUGGGGCAAAAAGUUUUAAAAAUGAUCACUGCUAGGCGUAGUUGAGGACUUAAGUUUGUGGGGAGAAAAUACCAGUUUACAAAAAUCUGAGCGUUAGACGCAUGCAGUCUCUGAAUGUAGUAGCUUCUCCGAGUCCUCUAGAACCAGGGGAUAGCCUAGGUCCGAGGAGGAUCCAGGAUUGCAAGCAGGAUCCUAAAUUUGCUAGGGUCUGUUGAUGUAGAGGAUUGGCCUCCGUGUGGCAUCCUUUCCCUGGAUGAGGGUCGGGCUUCAACACUGCCCCCUUGAUGGGAUGUUCCCGCGGGUCCCCCUUGCCCCAGACUCAUGAGGAACUACAGUCCAUCUCCCCCUGGCUUCCCUGACAGUUGGCUGGUGGGAUCCAGGGCUGGGCCCAGAGCAGUGAGAACUAGAGGCCCGUGAGGAGAGCCUCACAAAAGAGGCAGAAAACAAGUAGUAGCCAGCGUGUACGCUCAGGCCCCUUCCUCCCAUCCACACGGUUCUGCAUGGAAGCUGCCUUUGAGGACUGAGCAAUCCAACUGUACUUUCCUGUGAAGUUGCUUUCAGAUCAAUAAUGCACCACUGCAUCUGGCCUCCCUGGCCUAGAAAUUACCUUCUAAUCACAUCUCGGCGCUUAAACUUGGCCUCAGGCUCAGCUUUCUAAUCAACCCUUUAGCAGUCUUUGGGCUUUAGAUCUGUGCUUUCUUCAAAUUUCACAAUCACAAGCAGAAUUAGGACCUUUUUCCCCUCCCUUGCUUUGGCCGUGGUUUACUGUCCCACUAAAGUGCUAGUUUAUUUGGGUAACUCCGAUAUAAUUUAUUAGUCCAUGUUCGCAGCACAUAAUGGUUCCAUUCCUUGUGUGGAGUUGGUCUGUGUACAGAACACAUCUUAAUUACUUUUUUUCAUCUUUUCCUCUCCUUUGACAAAGAUGUCUCCCUACGUCCUAUUUAUAAUUGGGUUUCUCACAUAAGAUCAUGUGAUACGUAAGUGCUUAUGGGUUUAGGUGAUCCCUUGGGGCCAAUGCUGAAUACAUGUAUUUUUUUUUUUGAAGUAGUGGACCCCCCCCCCCCAUUUGAAGUUGGUAGAGGUAAAAGUUUUGCCUUACAUUUAUUGGUUUCUAGUAGAGCUCCCUCAGGAGUGCUCGAUCCUGGGCACUUACCGGUUUUAAACAGUUGGAAGCUUGAAAGCCUUGAAGUAGGAACCAAAGACCUUUCAAUUAUCCGAUAAAGCUGUGAGCCUAGGUGGGAAGACUGAGGCCUAAUUGGCCUCUUCGGCCAGCACUGAGAGGAAAAGGGGGAUCCAAGCGAGCUAACACGCCGCAGGGAGAAGUAGAAACACCGGAGGGUAGGUUGUUUACCCGGAGAAGUACCGUGGGGGUGGAGACAGAUGGAUUCUGUGAACUGUAAUUGCUCUGCCCGUGUCUGGGUGAAUAAAGCCAAGGUGGCCAGUGGCUUGCGGCUCUAUAUCGAAGGGAGACGUGAGCUCUCGGGCCUCCCAGAUUUUAAACCUGUUUGUGUGUGGCUAUUUGUUCAUCCUCCACACCCCUCGGUUAGAUUUGAGCUCGGAGGCUGGUCCUACAUGAGUCUAGGGUCUAGUUACAUGAUUUCAGCCUACUGUAAAACCACAUUCUAUCUUUCCUAAAAUCAGGGGAGGGUAUAUUAAAGCCUUGUUUAAAGUGACCUCUAGUUGAUAAUUUUUGCAUGCAGCAUCAGGGGACAACACUGCAUCCAAUCAACUCAUUUAAAUGGAUAGCUUGAACAGAAGCAGGAUUUCUCUCCACAGUUCUCGCAGUGGAAUCCUUGGGGAAAGAGGAAAAGAUUAAGUCAUCAUUUGAGUUUCUUCAGGCUCAACCAAAGGCUAACAAUUCACAGAAAUAUCUUGGAAUCAAAGAGAAGACUCUGGUGCUCUCACUGGCUGUUGUUUGGCACCUUGGAUAGCCAGGGCAGAGACACAAAACGAGAGCAAAGACUGUAGGAAACUUCCCUAAGAGAAGAGGGGAAAGAGAGCAUUUGGUUGCUUUGAAAUGGAUAUGUGGAAACCAGCCUCACUCGGGCAGCCUUUGCAGCCUUCUGCUGAGCUCCAGGCCCCUGCCUGGCAGCCUCUCACAGGUGACGGGCAGAAAGGGGAUUGUCUUUAGAAUCUGCACUGAAGCCACCGCCGCCUCUCCACCACUGAGAUCCAACUGGUUCCCUCUAAAAUGGCUUUUUAAAAUUUGCAAAUACAGAAACAGGCUGGGGAGAACCUAAGCAAAAGUGUACAUUUACUGGAUGAGUACUUGACCAGCUCAUGGAUUCCAAGAAGUUGACCAAGCCUCUCCCCCGAAGAGCAGGCACUGGGCAGUUCCUGGAAGCUGAGCGGCUGAACUCCACUGACCCCUCCAAAGGGCUGCCUUUAAUGACUCGAGUACCAACUCCCGAGGCUCAUCUACGGCCGCCUCACUGUGGAAAUCUAAAAAUUCUUCAGAGAUUCCCAAUGGCCUGCAUGGGCACUACAGUGUGGGCCUUUCCUUUUAAACUGAUCCUCUUUAAAAAUGGUUUCAGGCACUGCUAACCUCAGCUGAGUAGAUGGGGCUGUCGGAACCAGAUUCCGAUGCCCAGUGUAAAGAGUCAAAGUAGCAGCAGUCCCAACAGGGUAAAGUUUAAAAGAACCUAUUCUCUUGGGCAAGAUGCACUUUAAAAGUGUCUCUGCCUAGGGCUGGGGUGUGGCUCUGGUGGACUCACCCAGCUUGUCCAGGGUAGGGGUGGGAGGUUGUCUUCUGGUUUCUGGUGGCCUCAUUCAUUUAGUAAUUACUUCUAAAUAACCUGCUGUGAAUAAACCUAGACCUGUGUCUCGUGUGUGAGCAGUCUUAAGGGAUUCUGAGAGUAACUUUUCAUAUGAACACUGGAUUUUAAGCCCCUUCCCCUUGGAUGAGAAACCUACAGAUUUUGCCUGAGCAACGAGAGCACAUCCUUGUUAAGGUUAAGAUUUCACUGUCUCUGUUCAGAGCCUUCAUUAGGCUACAUCAGAGGACAACUGAGAUGGCUCUGCAAUUAACUGCAGCCAAGCGUCACUUGUUUUUAUAAUGUGACUUGGGUAUAACUGAAAAAUAACUCAUGCCUCUUUUCCUUUCCCUUCUGAACUGGAUAGAUAACUGCACAUAAGUUAACUUUUUAUUUUUGGUACUGGGGAUCAAACUCGGGACCUUGCACUUUCAAGGCAGGCACCAGAACCACUGAGCUAAAUUCCCGGCCCCCACAUAAGUUAAUUUUUUAAAAAAUUCUAGCUAUUUCCUCAAACCUGAGGUAAGAGCAGUUUAGAAGACAUUUAGCAGCCAAGCUCCCCAAGGGAGGCCAGGAACUUCUAACUGACAAGGGCUGCUAAGGCCGCAGAGUCUACCCAGAAUGCAUAUGCAAAGUAUCUGGAAAUUUGGUUUGGGCUUAGAUCUGAGCAAAUCUGAUGUUCUGUACUCCAGAAUUGCUUCAACUUCAACCAGCAGCCACGCUCAUGGUCCAGGCAGAUUGCCUACCAUCCCCAAUACAGGUUCUGUUUUUGUGUUUGAUAAUAAAACUAGGCAUGGAGCAUGGAGAGCUAUCCCAGCGGAUCAUCUGUGUGGCAAAUAUGCUGCUUUCUUGCAUUCUGCCACAGAGCCCUGCCUCCUCCUCAUGACCAGGAUCAGUGACCACUACUAGUACUGAGACUGAAGUAACCUAGUGGCAGCUUUGGUGUAAAGGACAGUGGGCCCCUGUGUCUACGGAUAAAGUGUUGUCCUUCUGGGAACCAAGACCACGUGACCCUCAAUGUAAAGUUUUGGCUACAAGAAGCACAAAUCUUCCAAAUGUACCACUAGGAAGGACAGUAAGCAAGGCCAUGCCUAUUUCCUCCUAGCCCCCAUGGCCCUAGCCCCACGUAUUUAGUUUGGGACGUAUCACCCUAAAUCAAUGAUCAACAUAUGGCGCUAGCUCAACCUGUAG
Molecule: long non-coding RNA, 4506 nt
Organism: Heterocephalus glaber (naked mole-rat)
Lineage: Eukaryota; Metazoa; Chordata; Mammalia; Rodentia; Bathyergidae
Source: Ensembl